This 2000-nucleotide long non-coding RNA is filed under the name Salmo salar (Atlantic salmon). RNAcentral describes it as "lncRNA (ENSSSAG00000089613.1)". Lineage: Eukaryota; Metazoa; Chordata; Actinopteri; Salmoniformes; Salmonidae. The record is from RNAcentral.
GUGUGUGUGGUAGUGUGUAUUGUCAUGUGCAUGGUAGUGUGUGUGUGUGUGUGGUAAUGUGUGGUAGUGUGUAUGGUAGUGUGUGUGGUAGUGUGUAUGGUAGUGUGUAUGGUAGUGUGUGGCAUUGUGUAUGGUAGUGUGUGUGGUAGUGUGUGUGUGUGGUAGUGUGCAUGGUAGUGUGUGGCAGUGUGUAUGGUAGUGUGUGUGGUAGUGUGUGUGGUAGUGUGUGUGGUAGUGUGUGGUAGUGUGUAUGGUAGUGUGUGUGGCAGUGUAUAUGGUAGUGUGUGGUAGUGUGUGUGGUAGUGUGUGUGGUAGUGUGUAUGGUAAUGUGUGUGUGGUAGUGUGUAUUGUCAUGUGCAUGGUAGUGUGUGUGUGUGUGUGUGUGGUAAUGUGUGGUAGUGUGUAUGGUAGUGUGUGUGGUAGUGUGUAUGGUAGUGUGUAUGGUAGUGUGUGGCAGUGUGUAUGGUAGUGUGUGUGGUAGUGUGUGUGUGUGUGUGUAUGGUAAUCUGUGUGGUAGUGUGUGGUAGUGUGUAUGGUAGUGUGUAUGGUAAUGUGUGUGUGGUAGUGUGUAUUGUCAUGUGCAUGGUAGUGUGUGUGUGUGUGUGGUAAUGUGUGGUAGUGUGUGUGGUAGUGUGUGUGGUAGUGUGUAUGGUAGUGUAUGGUAGUGUGUGUGGUAGUGUGUAUAGUAGUGUGUGUGUGUGUGGUAGUGUGUAUGGUAGUGUGUGUGUGGUAGUGUGUAUGGUAGUGUAUGGUAGUGUGUGUGGUAGUGUGAAUAGUAGUGUGUGUGUGUGUGUGGUAGUGUGUGUGGUGGUGUACAGUAGAGUGUGUUGUAGUGUGUGUGGUAGUGUAUAUGGUAGUGUAUGGUAGUGUGUGUUGUAGUGUGUGUGGUAGUGUGUAUGGUAGAGUAUGGUAGUGUGGGUUGUAGUGUGUGUGGUAGUGUACAGUAGUGUGUGUUGUAGUGUGUGUGGUAGUGUGUAUGGUAGUGUGUGUGGUAGUGUGUGUGGUAGUGUGUGUGGUAGUGUGUAUGGUAGUGUGUAUGGUAAUGUGUGUGUGGUAGUGUGUAUUGUCAUGUGCAUGGUAGUGUGUGUGUGUGUGUGUGGUAAUGUGUGGUAGUGUGUAUGGUAGUGUGUGUGGUAGUGUGUAUGGUAGUGUGUAUGGUAGUGUGUGGCAGUGUGUAUGGUAGUGUGUGUGGUAGUGUGUGUGUGUGGUAGUGUGUAUGGUAGUGUGUGGCAGUGUGUAUGGUAGUGUGUGUGGUAGUGUGUGUGGUAGUUUGUGGUAGUGUGUAUGGUAGUGUGUGUGGCAGUGUGUAUGGUAGUGUGUGUUAGUGUGUGUGGUAGUGUGUAUGGUAGUGUGUAUGGUAAUGUGUGUGUGGUAGUGUGUAUUGUCAUGUGCAUGGUAGUGUGUGUGUGUGUGUGGUAAUGUGUGGUAGUGUGUGUGGUAGUGUGUGUGGUAGUGUGUAUAGUAGUGUGUGUGUGUGUGGUAGUGUGUAUGGUAGUGUGUGUGUGGUAGUGUGUAUGGUAGUGUAUGGUAGUGUGUGUGGUAGUGUGAAUAGUAGUGUGUGUGUGUGUGUGGUAGUGUGUGUGGUGGUGUACAGUAGAGUAUGUUGUAGUGUGUGUGGUAGUGUGUAUGGUAGUGUAUGGUAGUGUGUGUUGUAGUGUGUGUGGUAGUGUGUAUGGUAGAGUAUGGUAGUGUGGGUUGUAGUGUGUGUGGUAGCGUACAGUAGUGUGUGUUGUAGUGUGUGUGGUAGUGUGUAUGGUAGUGUAUGGUAGUGUAUGGUAGUGUGGGUUGUAGUGUGUGUGGUAGUGUACAGUAGAGUGUGCUGUAUGUUUGUUUGUGUGUUAAGGUGUGUCCUUAUGUGUGUCAGAAGAACAUGUGUACCAGGAGUGGGAGUAAGGUAGUAGAGAAUGACAGGUGUGUGUUAGAGAGGUGUGCAUGUAUAGGAAGGAAAUGUGUGUGUGUGUGUGUGUGUGUGUGUGUGUGUGUGUGUGUGUGUGUGUGUG